Molecule: ribosomal RNA, 253 nt
Filed under: uncultured bacterium
Lineage: Bacteria
Description: partial 16S ribosomal RNA
Rfam family: Bacterial small subunit ribosomal RNA
Source: RNAcentral
UACGUAGGGGGCUAGCGUUGUCCGGAAUCAUUGGGCGUAAAGCGCGCGUAGGCGGCCAGAUAAGUCCGGUGUGAAAGUCACAGGCUCAACCUGUGAAUGCCGCUGGAAACUGUCUGGCUAGAGUCCGGAAGAGGAGAAUGGAAUUCCUGGUGUAGCGGUGAAAUGCGCAGAUAUCAGGAAGAACACCCGUGGCUAAGGCGGUUCUCUAGUACGGUACUGACGCUGAGACGCGAAAGCGUGGGGAGCGAACAGG